UGGGAGCUAAGCUAUGGGUAUACUGAGCUUAUGUAUGCAUCUGCAUACCCAUAGCUUAGCUCCCA
MicroRNA precursor from Gorilla gorilla gorilla (western lowland gorilla), 65 nucleotides. The record is from Ensembl. NCBI's taxonomy places the organism in Eukaryota, Metazoa, Chordata, Mammalia, Primates, Hominidae.